This 101-nucleotide small RNA is filed under the name Arabidopsis thaliana (thale cress). Its description in RNAcentral is "ATSL044820". Lineage: Eukaryota; Viridiplantae; Streptophyta; Magnoliopsida; Brassicales; Brassicaceae. The record is from RNAcentral.
AAACAAACUCUUAUCACACAAACUCGCUUAACAAAUAAACCAAACGAUGCACUAGUUGUAACAACGUUAUUUUUCUUUUGAAUCUAACUUAACAUUAUUUU